AUGUAUCCAAUAGCUUGGGCUAUAGUAGAGGUCGAGAGCUACGAUUCCUGGUAUUGGUUCAUUGGGUUUCUUCAAAAAGAUCUACAGAUAAACAACAAUGGUGAAGGAUGGGUUUUCAUCUCUGAUCAACAAAAAGUGAGCUCAAUAUAUUUUACUCAUAUACUUGUUAUUGUAUAUAUGAUACAAAUUUAA
Molecule: ribosomal RNA, 192 nt
Filed under: Triticum aestivum (bread wheat)
Lineage: Eukaryota; Viridiplantae; Streptophyta; Magnoliopsida; Poales; Poaceae
Description: partial small subunit ribosomal RNA
Source: RNAcentral